RNAcentral lists this ribosomal RNA (552 nucleotides) under Triticum aestivum (bread wheat). RNAcentral's name for it is "partial small subunit ribosomal RNA". Lineage: Eukaryota; Viridiplantae; Streptophyta; Magnoliopsida; Poales; Poaceae. The record is from RNAcentral.
AUGGCAGGUCCGUGGCCGAGAUCGCUCCACUCGUUCUCGCUCUCGUCCCCAGGCGCAUUCGAAAAGAACAUUGCAUGCGUGACGGCCUGCACCAGCGCUCUUGGGUGUGGGACAUUAGAGGCGCGCUUGGGCAUUGUGCAGUACGUCGAUCUAUGGCGCCUGGUGCGGCACACUCAGCUCACCAGCGAGCCGGACAUGCUAUGUUGGCAUUGGACUUCUUCCGCUACAUACACUGCAAGUUUUUGCUACAAGGCUCUGUUCAUUGGAACUUGUGAAGAUCCUUUCCGGCGGCUCACUUAGCUACCUUGGGCCCCUCUCUGUGUCAAGUUUUUCUCAUGGCUGGCCUUGCAAGACCGCUGCUGGACCGCAGAGCGCAUCGCACGCCGUGGACAACCACAUGAUGAUGCAUGCGCCCUUUGCGACCAAGAGGAGGAGACCAUGCACCAUCUCCUUGCCGGAUGUUCUUUCUCACGACAAGUUUGGCACGAGAUCCUCGGUUGGGCACGUGUGCCCAUCGGCCUAACCUCCCCUGACACACCAUUCCAGCUCUGA